RNAcentral lists this ribosomal RNA (512 nucleotides) under uncultured bacterium. Its description in RNAcentral is "partial 16S ribosomal RNA". It matches the Rfam family "Bacterial small subunit ribosomal RNA", at positions 28 to 523 of the family's 1533-position model. The record is from RNAcentral.
GACGAACGCUGGCGGUAUGCUUAACACAUGCAAGUCGAACGCGAAAGGGACUUCGGUCCUGAGUAAAGUGGCGCACGGGUGAGUAACGCGUGGAUAAUCUGCCCUUAUGAUUGGAACAACAGUUGGAAACGACUGCUAAUACCGGAUACGCUCAAAAUGAACUUUUUGAGGAAAGAUGACCUCUGCUUGCAAGUUAUCGCAUAAGGGUGAGUCCGCGUCCCAUUAGCUUGUUGGCGGGGUAACGGCCCACCAAGGCAACGAUGGGGAGCCGAUUUGAGAGGAUGAUCGGCCACACUGGAACUGAAACACGGUCCAGACUCCUACGGGAGGCAGCAGUGGGGAAUAUUGCGCAAUGGGCGAAAGCCUGACGCAGCGACGCCGCGUGAGGGAUGAAGGUUUUCGGAUCGUAAACCUCUGUCAGAAGGGAAGAAACUACGCUGUGCUAAUCAGCAGUGUACUGACGGUACCUUCAAAGGAAGCACCGGCUAACUCCGUGCCAGCAGCCGCCGUAA